AUCUCUAAGCCAUGCCACCCUGAAUGUGCUUAAUCUCGUCUGAUCUUGGAAACUAAGUAGGGUCGGGCCUGGUUAGUACUUGGAUGGGAGACCAGCUAGGAAGACCACGCGCUGUAGGUG
Non-coding RNA from Pteropus alecto (black flying fox), 120 nucleotides. The record is from Rfam. Lineage: Eukaryota; Metazoa; Chordata; Mammalia; Chiroptera; Pteropodidae.